CAGGAUGAGAUCCCUUGAC
This 19-nucleotide small nuclear RNA is filed under the name Arabidopsis thaliana (thale cress). Its description in RNAcentral is "snRNA_00536". The record is from RNAcentral. Lineage: Eukaryota; Viridiplantae; Streptophyta; Magnoliopsida; Brassicales; Brassicaceae.